AGAAGAAGACAACCCUUUAAAACGGACCAAAAUGCAGCUUUUAUAUCUAAAAUUAUUCCAAAAUCGAUCAAAGUCUUAAACAUGAACCUGUAUACGUGCACUUGCAUAAGGUCGAUUUCUAUCCGACCCAGCUCAUAUUCUUGUUUGAGAUUUAGAAUUAACUAACAACAUAAUUUUAUGAUGUUGUCUGCCUUUUCUUCUGUUACUCUAAUACACAUGGUUAUUGUAUUAAUCUCAAAACCUCAAAACACUAAUUAUACCCCACGCAACGGGUUGCGGAGGGUAUAAUGUUUUUGACCCGUCCGUCAGUCCGUCCGUCAGUCCUGUUUCUUGUCAUCGCAACUCCUCUCAAGCCACACAACAGAACUUCACGAAACCUUUUCAGAUAAUAAGGACAUACUAUGUAGUUGUGCAUAUCGACGGGAAAUUGCGAUUCAAUUUUUUUUCUAGGAGUUGCGCCCCUUUGAACUUAUUUGCCUCACUAUACUA
This 489-nucleotide long non-coding RNA is filed under the name Mytilus galloprovincialis (Mediterranean mussel). The record is from RNAcentral. Lineage: Eukaryota; Metazoa; Mollusca; Bivalvia; Mytilida; Mytilidae.